UACAGAGGGUGCGAGCGUUAAUCGGAGUUACUGGGCGUAAAGGGCGCGUAGGCGGUCUAGUGUGAGUGAUGUGAAAGCCCCGGGCUUAACCUGGGAAGUGCAUCGCUGACUACUAGACUGGAGUAGGUGAGAGGGUAGCGGAAUUUCCGGUGUAGCGGUGAAAUGCGUAGAGAUCGGAAGGAACGUCAAUGGCGAAGGCAGCUACCUGGCACCAUACUGACGCUGAUGCGCGAGAGCGUGGGGAGCGAACAGG
This 253-nucleotide ribosomal RNA is filed under the name uncultured bacterium. RNAcentral's name for it is "partial 16S ribosomal RNA". It matches the Rfam family "Bacterial small subunit ribosomal RNA", at positions 524 to 776 of the family's 1533-position model. The record is from RNAcentral.